Molecule: ribosomal RNA, 255 nt
Filed under: uncultured bacterium
Lineage: Bacteria
Description: partial 16S ribosomal RNA
Rfam family: Bacterial small subunit ribosomal RNA
Source: RNAcentral
UACGUAGGGUGCAAGCGUUGUCCGGAAUUAUUGGGCGUAAAGAGCUCGUAGGCGGUCUGUCGCGUCGGCUGUGAAAACUCGGGGCUCAACCCCGAGCCUGCAGUCGAUACGGGCAGACUAGAGUGCUGUAGGGGAGACUGGAAUUCCUGGUGUAGCGGUGAAAAUGCGCAGAUAUCAGGAGGAACACCGGUGGCGAAGGCGGGUCUCUGGGCAGUAACUGACGCUGGAGGAGCGAAAGCGUGGGGAGCGAACAGG